AUGGGAGAGGAAGGAGUUGUUGUGGGAACCAUUCCCUACCCUAUGGUGAUUUCUUCUCCUGAGAGACCGGUUGCAACCAAGGAGUUGCAGGUGUACCAGAGAAGGCAUCUUCGCGAUCAGGGGGUGCGAACAAUAGUUGAAAAUGAGCAAGUUGCGCGAGCUGAGGAGGAACUACAACAGACUGAACCCCUAGAGCAGCCACAGUGCCAGGAUGACAUUCGUGUUCCAGUCAUCUCUCCGGGCCUCUCACCAUCAAGAUCCUCACCGUCAUUAGAGAUAGGUGAUGAUGCUUCUCCCUCUCCAUUGCAUUUAGAAUUACCUAUUGCCCAACGCAGAGCAAUUAGAAGUAAUGCUGGAAAGCCCCCAGAUUUGUAUGGUUUUGAACAUGACAUUGCUAAUUUUGUGUCAUACUCAUGCAUUUCACCUGCAUACAAAGCAUUCAUUUCAUCUCUUCAAUCUGUAUCCGUUCCAAAUGAUUGGAGAACAGCAAAGCAGGAUCCCAGGUGGAAGGAGGCUAUGAAGGAAGAGCUUAGUGCUCUCCAAAGAACAAGACAUGGGAUCUUGUGCUACUCCCACCAGGAAAAAGGAUAG
This 591-nucleotide ribosomal RNA is filed under the name Triticum aestivum (bread wheat). Its description in RNAcentral is "partial small subunit ribosomal RNA". The record is from RNAcentral. Lineage: Eukaryota; Viridiplantae; Streptophyta; Magnoliopsida; Poales; Poaceae.